CAGUCGCCGCGGGAAUACGUAGGGUGCGAGCGUUGUUCGGAAUUACUGGGCGUAAAGCGCACGUAGGCGGCUUGGUAAGUUAGAGGUGAAAGCCUGGAGCUCAACUCCAGAAUUGCCUUUAAGACUGCCGAGCUAGCAGGUGAGAGAGGUAAGUGGAAUUCCGAGUGUAGAGGUGAAAUUCGUAGAUAUUCGGAGGAACACCAGUGGCGAAGGCGGCUCACUGGUCCAUUACUGACGCUGAGGUGCGAAAGCGUGGGGAGCAAACAGGAUUAGAUACCCCAGUAGUCCCUGUCUCUUAUAC
Molecule: ribosomal RNA, 301 nt
Filed under: uncultured bacterium
Lineage: Bacteria
Description: partial 16S ribosomal RNA
Rfam family: Bacterial small subunit ribosomal RNA
Source: RNAcentral